GACGAACGCUGGCGGCGUGCUUAACACAUGCAAGUCGAACGGUGAAGCGCCUUCCUUUUUGGUGGGUGUGGAUGAGUGGCGAACGGGUGAGUAACACGUGAGUAACCUGCCCCCUUCUUCUGGAUAACCGCAUGAAAGUGUGGCUAAUACGGGAUAUUCUGGGUCUGCCGCAUGAUGGGUCUGGGAAAGAUCUUGUUUCGGUGGGGAUGGGCUCGCGGCCUAUCAGCUUGUUGGUGGGGUGAUGGCCUACCAAGGCGGUGACGGGUAGCCGGCCUGAGAGGGUGGACGGUCACACUGGGACUGAGACACGGCCCAGACUACUACGGGAGGCAGCAGUGGGGAAUAGUGCACAAUGGGCGCAAGCCUGAUGCAGCGACGCCGCGUGAGGGAUGGAGGCCUUCGGGUUGUGAACCUCUUUCGCCAGUGAAGCAGGCCUGCCUCGUUUGUGGGUGGGUUGACGGUAGCUGGAGAAGAAGCGCCGGCUAACUACGUG
Molecule: ribosomal RNA, 493 nt
Filed under: uncultured bacterium
Lineage: Bacteria
Description: partial 16S ribosomal RNA
Rfam family: Bacterial small subunit ribosomal RNA
Source: RNAcentral